AGUCGCCACGGUAAUACGAAGGGUGCAAGCGUUAAUCGGAAUUACUGGGCGUAAAGCGCGCGUAGGUGGUUCAUUAAGUUGGAUGUGAAAGCCCUGGGCUCAACCUGGGAACUGCAUCCAAAACUGGUGAGCUAGAGUACGGUAGAGGGUAGUGGAAUUUCCUGUGUAGCGGUGAAAUGCGUAGAUAUAGGAAGGAACACCAGUGGCGAAGGCGACUACCUGGACUGAUACUGACACUGAGGUGCGAAAGCGUGGGGAGCAAACAGGAUUAGAUACCCGCGUAGUCCCUGUCUCUUAUACA
Molecule: ribosomal RNA, 301 nt
Filed under: uncultured bacterium
Lineage: Bacteria
Description: partial 16S ribosomal RNA
Rfam family: Bacterial small subunit ribosomal RNA
Source: RNAcentral